GGGUGCGAUCAUUUCAGCACUAAUGCACAGGAUUACAUCAGAACUCCGAAGUUAAGUGUGCUUGGAUAAGAAUAGUUCUAAGAUGAGCUUGUCUUAUGAUUUUCAUAGAUUCAGGCU
Cephalotus follicularis is the source of this 117-nucleotide non-coding RNA. Lineage: Eukaryota; Viridiplantae; Streptophyta; Magnoliopsida; Oxalidales; Cephalotaceae. The record is from Rfam.